GCAGUCGCUACGAGAGUUUUUACUCAAGUGGCGGACGGGUGAGUAACACGUGAGAAUCUGCCUUUAGGAGGGGGAUAACAACUGGAAACGGUUGCUAAUACCCCAUAUGCUUUCGAGUGAAAUGGAUUUAUCCGCCUAAAGAGGAGCUCGCGGCUGAUUAGCUUGUUGGUAGGGUAAUGGCCUACCAAGGCGACGAUCAGUAUCUGGUUUGAGAGGAUGAUCAGACACACUGGAACUGAGACACGGUCCAGACUCCUACGGGAGGCAGCAGUGGGGAAUUUUCCGCAAUGGGCGAAAGCCUGACGGAGCAAUACCGCGUGAGGGAAGACGGCCUAUGGGUUGUAAACCUCUUUUCUCAGGGAGGAACUCAAUGACGUGUACCUGAGGAAUAAGCAUCGGCUAACUCCGUGCCAGCAGCCGCGGUAAGACGGAGGAUGCAAGUGUUAUCCGGAAUCACUGGGCGUAAAGCGUCUGUAGGUGGUUUAAUAAGUCAACUGUUAAAUCUUGAGGCUCAACUUCAAAAUCGCAGUCGAAACUAUUAGACUAGAGUAUAGUAGGGGUAAAGGGAAUUUCCAGUGGAGCGGUGAAAUGCGUAGAGAUUGGAAAGAACACCGAUGGCGAAGGCACUUUACUGGGCUAUUACUAACACUCAGAGACGAAAGCUAGGGUAGCAAAUGGGAUUAGAUACCCCAGUAGUCCUAGCUGUAAACAAUGGAUACUAGAUGUUGAACAGAUCGACCUGUGCAGUAUUAAAGCUAACGCGUUAAGUAUCCC
This 774-nucleotide ribosomal RNA is filed under the name uncultured cyanobacterium. RNAcentral's name for it is "bacterial SSU rRNA". It matches the Rfam family "Bacterial small subunit ribosomal RNA", at positions 57 to 870 of the family's 1533-position model. Lineage: Bacteria; Bacillati; Cyanobacteriota. The record is from RNAcentral.